UCCAAUGAUGACCAUGAGAAAGAAAGUCUGAAUGCAAGUUUUUAUGUGCUUGUACGCAAUGUUGAAUAUUCAUGAACUAGGACGGUCUGAGGU
This 93-nucleotide small nucleolar RNA is filed under the name Macleaya cordata. RNAcentral describes it as "Small nucleolar RNA snoR20a". It matches the Rfam family "Small nucleolar RNA snoR20a". From Rfam's summary of the family: The O.sativum sequence was obtained from the plant snoRNA database. Lineage: Eukaryota; Viridiplantae; Streptophyta; Magnoliopsida; Ranunculales; Papaveraceae. The record is from Rfam by way of RNAcentral.